Molecule: ribosomal RNA, 253 nt
Filed under: uncultured bacterium
Lineage: Bacteria
Description: partial 16S ribosomal RNA
Rfam family: Bacterial small subunit ribosomal RNA
Source: RNAcentral
UACGGGGGGGGCAAGCGUUGUUCGGAAUUACUGGGCGUAAAGGGCGCGUAGGCGGUUUGCUAAGUUGGAUGUGAAAACUCUGGGCUUAACCCAGAGCCUGCAUCCAAAACUGGCUGACUUGAGUACUGGAGGGGAAAGCGGAAUUCCUGGUGUAGCGGUGAAAUGCGUAGAUAUCCGGAGGAACACCAGUGGCGAAAGCGGCCACCUGGACUGUACCUGACGCUCAAACACGAAAGCUAGGGGAGCGAACGGG